UCCUUCACUUCCUGACGUUCUUCCUUCACUCUUACCUUCUGGGGUUCAGUUGGUAGCAAGAAGAAGGCAGCACGAUAGGAUCUCCAUGACAGUCCAGUCAACUUCCAUCUGAGGGGGUUCCUCAGUGGAAGAUUCGCAUCAUCUUCGUUAUCUAAGCAAGCAGCAACCGGCGGUGAGCUUCUGUCCACCAACUUUGGGGGUUCCGAGCCGGGUCUUCAUGUGACGACGAGGGUAGUAGUUGAAAUCGGAAGCGGAAGUGUGAAUUGUGGUUGGAAGUCUUAGUUUAUUUUAUGUUUACUAUUGAUGUUUGUUAAUUCUUAUUAAAUGUUUGUAGCAAACUUAGAUCCUCAUGUUUAGAUUGCACACACUUUAUCUACUUUGUUUCAUGCAUAUAAUGUGUUCGAUGAAAUGUUUCUUUUAAGUCGUUAGGUUCAAUUUGAUGAGUUUUAACUUGUUUAAUUUUUACUUUGUCUUGUUCUUUCAAUUUUGUUAGGUUCUAGUUUUGAUUAAAUGCAAUUAGGAUAUGUUAGAUUAGAUUUCUUUAAUGCUCUAGAUUUUUAAUUCAAUGCUAAUUUAUGUUGUCUUUAAUUUCAUUGCAAUCUUAGUUUAAGUUAGAAUAGGUUUCCUUAUUUGCAUCGUCUUUCAUUUACUAGGUUAGGUUCAUUUAAUGUUUUGUUAUUUCAUUUCUUAGUUUAACUCCAUUAAUGGUGAUAUCGUAGCGUAGAGUGACAAUGCAUUGUCACUUGUUUUCCAAAAUCAGUUUAACUCCAUUAAUGGAUAUGUUAUCUUAUUUGAGAAAGUAUGACUAUUUAUAAUAUUUAGAACUUGCUUUCCAAAAUCAGCUUUACUCUAUUCCGAUAUCUCCAUAUCUCAACUUGCAUGUUUGAUUGUUUUGGAGAUUUUUCGUCUUAAUGAGUGAUUCACCUUUGUUUAGAACCCUCCUAAGCUGGCUACUCCUCUAUUUGAUACUAAAAUGCCAGAGGACCCUAAGAUGGCAUACACAGACCUAGAUAAUCUUCAAAUGGUGUUUUGAACGAAGAGUAGUGUUUGGUCUUGCAUUGUGAUGGCGUCUGAGUGUUUGCUUGGUCUCUGUUGGCUUGCUACAUAUCUAGAAAGCUCCAUGAUUUGUGCUAAGCUGAAGCGUAUCCAAUUUGGAUUUUCCAACUCAAAAUAUCAGUAGAUUUGUUGUGGUAGUACCUUAAUAGGAUUUGAGACUUCUCCAUUCAGGAAGGUUAUGCUCGUUUGACUCAUAUUAUGGAAAAGACAAGUCCGGUAGAUACAAAAAUUACAAGAUCACAAGUUUGGAUUGAAGGUCACAAGAAAAAAAAUGGGAAGCCUAGUACUCAAGCUGUUGGAGAGAAAAUAGUGGACCUAAUUCGACCAAAUGAUGAAAUGUAGUUUCUCGAUGAUGCAAUAGAAAGCACGGUCGCAUGGUUAUCUAUAUUUAUAGUAUUGUGCGAUUGAUAUAUAUUAUACUAAUUUGUUUGGAUUGUAAGUUGAAUUGUUGUUAUGUAAUUGCUAGUUUGUUAGAUAUUUCAUAUAUUGUUUUAGAUGUUUUGAGUUUUUGUGGUAUAAAGAAAAACUAUGACUUUUAUUAA
Zingiber officinale is the source of this 1598-nucleotide long non-coding RNA. RefSeq lists it as uncharacterized. Lineage: Eukaryota; Viridiplantae; Streptophyta; Magnoliopsida; Zingiberales; Zingiberaceae. The record is from RefSeq and is a predicted model, not a curated record. The transcript has 5 exons.